GCCUUCGUGGUGUAGUAGUCAGCACUCCGGGCUCAUAUUCCAGAGGUCCGUGGUUCGAGUCCCUGCGAAAGUG
RNAcentral lists this transfer RNA (73 nucleotides) under Stegodyphus mimosarum. It matches the Rfam family "tRNA". From Rfam's summary of the family: Transfer RNA (tRNA) molecules are approximately 80 nucleotides in length. Their secondary structure includes four short double-helical elements and three loops (D, anti-codon, and T loops). The record is from Rfam by way of RNAcentral. Lineage: Eukaryota; Metazoa; Arthropoda; Arachnida; Araneae; Eresidae.